UCAGGCCUAACACAUGCAAGUCGAGCGGAUGAGUGGAGCUUGCUCCAUGAUUCAGCGGCGGACGGGUGAGUAAUGCCUAGGAAUCUGCCUGGUAGUGGGGGAUAACGUUUCGAAAGGAACGCUAAUACCGCAUACGUCCUACGGGAGGAAGUGGGGGAUCUUCGGACCUCACGCUAUCAGAUGAGCCUAGGUCGGAUUAGCUAGUUGGUGGGGUAAUGGCCCACCAAGGCGACGAUCCGUAACUGGUCUGAGAGGAUGAACAGUCACACUGGAACUGAGACACGGUCCAGACUCCUACGGGAGGCAGCAGUGGGGAAUAUUGGACAAUGGGCGAAAGCCUGAUCCAGCCAGGCCGCGUGUGUGAAGAAGGUCUUCGGAUGUAAAUCAAUGAAGUUGGGAGGAAGGGCAGUAAGUUAAUACC
This 421-nucleotide ribosomal RNA is filed under the name uncultured bacterium. Its description in RNAcentral is "bacterial SSU rRNA". It matches the Rfam family "Bacterial small subunit ribosomal RNA", at positions 42 to 465 of the family's 1533-position model. The record is from RNAcentral.